This 91-nucleotide transfer RNA is filed under the name Coprinopsis marcescibilis. It matches the Rfam family "tRNA". From Rfam's summary of the family: Transfer RNA (tRNA) molecules are approximately 80 nucleotides in length. Their secondary structure includes four short double-helical elements and three loops (D, anti-codon, and T loops). The record is from Rfam by way of RNAcentral. Lineage: Eukaryota; Fungi; Basidiomycota; Agaricomycetes; Agaricales; Psathyrellaceae.
GGCGCUAUAGCCAAGUGGUUACGGCGACAGAUUAGAAUUACCAACUAUCUGUUCCUCUUUGAGGGCGCAGGUUCGAGUCCUGCUGGCGUCG